AUGAGGAUAGUUGGACUGGCGGGUGGGAUUUCGUCUGAGGAGAGUACUAUCUCAAAUCUCUCAAGGCCCAUGACAUUCAUGUUGUCGACGCUGACCUUGUGGCUCGGGAUGUAUUGAAGAAAGGAACUGAUGGAUGGAAAAAGGUUGUUUCAGCAUUUGGACAGGACAUUCUACAACCUGAUGGAGAAGUUGAUAGGCCUAAACUAGGCCAAAUUGUGUUCUCUAAUCCUGAAAAGCGUCAACUUUUGAACCGACUACUGGCUCCUUACAUAUCAUCGUGGAAUCUUUUAGAAAAUUUCUAAGCUAUGGCUGAAAAGGUUCAAGGUUAUUGUUCUUGAUGUCCCUCUGUUAUUCGAGACCAAGAUGGACAGAUGGACAAAGCCCAUUAUCAUUUGUAUGGGUCGAUCCUGAAACACAACUCAAAAGACUCAUGUUGAGGGACAACACAAGUGAGGAUGAUGCUCUAAACUAAAUAAACGCUCAGAUAUCACUUGAUUUAAAGAGUGGUAAGGCUAACAUAAUGAUUAAUAACACCGGAUCAGGAGAGGAUUUAGAAGAGAGGUUUAGGAGUGUGCUAUUAGAGGUCAAAAAGCCCUUGACAUGGACUGAAUUUUGGCUUUCUCGACAAGGUGCUUCAUCUGCUCUUGUCUCCAUUAUCAUAGGUGUUCUUAUGUUUAGAAAAGUUUAUAAUAGUAGCAGUAAAUUAUAGCAACCUUGAAGUUGUAUUUGUUAUGAUAUUGAUCUAAAUCUCCCUCUCUUUGGUAGUUGAAAAGAGAGAAGAGCUUCAUUGUGUUUGUAGCAAUAAUGAAGAAUGAUUACAUGCAUUUACGAUCGAAAAUUAGUGCACAAGUUCUUCAGUUUCCUAAAUAUCUCAGUUAUAUUUAUGUCUAAUAGUAGAAAACUAGUUUGUGUUUUAUGUGAAAAAAGCUCAUUUGGGGAUUGUUCUUACUGGGAAUAGGUUGAUUUUGUCUUCUAAGUGCAAUUCAGGGUUUAAUUGGAUCUCUGAUGUCUUUAAGUCCAACCUUAGGAGCCUAAGGUGAGAAGUUUAGGAAUCUCGAGUAGUCAACAUU
RNA transcript from Fragaria vesca subsp. vesca, 1070 nucleotides. It is a transcript of the gene named dephospho-CoA kinase domain-containing protein-like, with no coding region annotated. The transcript is spliced from 3 exons. The record is from RefSeq and is a predicted model, not a curated record. NCBI's taxonomy places the organism in Eukaryota, Viridiplantae, Streptophyta, Magnoliopsida, Rosales, Rosaceae.